ACGAACGCUGGCGGCGUGCUUAACACCUGCAAGUCGAACGGAAAGGCCCUGCUUUUGUGGGGUGCUCGAGUGGCGAACGGGUGAGUAACACGUGAGUAACCUGCCCUUGACUUUGGGAUAACUUCAGGAAACUGGGGCUAAUACCGGAUAGGAGCUCCUGCCGCAUGGUGGGGGUUGGAAAGUUUCGUCGGUUGGGGAUGGACUCGCGGCUUAUCAGCUUGUUGGUGGGGUAGUGGCUUACCAAGGCUUUGACGGGUAGCCGGCCUGAGAGGGUGACCGGCCACAUUGGGACUGAGAUACGGCCCAGACUCCUACGGGAGGCAGCAGUGGGGAAUAUUGCACAAUGGGCGGAAGCCUGAUGCAGCAACGCCGCGUGCGGGAUGACGGCCUUCGGGUUGUAAACCGCUUUCGCCUGUGACGAAGCGUGAGUGACGGUAAUGGGUAAAGAAGCACCGGCUAACUACGUG
RNAcentral lists this ribosomal RNA (467 nucleotides) under uncultured bacterium. Its description in RNAcentral is "partial 16S ribosomal RNA". It matches the Rfam family "Bacterial small subunit ribosomal RNA", at positions 29 to 507 of the family's 1533-position model. The record is from RNAcentral.